AUUGAACGCUGGCGGCAGGCCUAACACAUGCAAGUCGAGCGGAUGAAGGGAGCUUGCUCCUGGCUUCAGCGGCGGACGGGUGAGUAAUGCCUAGGAAUCUGCCUGGUCGUGGGGGAUAACGUCCGGAAACGGGCGCUAAUACCGCAUACGUCCUGAGGGAGAACGUGGGGGAUCUUCGGACCUCACGCUAUCAGAUGAGCCUAGGUCGGAUUAGCUAGUUGGUGGGGUAAAGGCCUACCAAGGCGACGAUCCGUAACUGGUCUGAGAGGGUGAUCAGUCACACUGGAACUGAGACACGGUCCAGACUCCUACGGGAGGCAGCAGUAGGGAAUAUUGGACAAUGGGCGAAAGCCUGAUGCAGCCAUGCCGCGUGUGUGAAGAAGGUCUUCGGAUCGUAAAGCACUUUUAGUUGGGAGGAACAGCAGUAAGUUAAUACCUGGCUGUUUUGACGGUACCAACAGAAUAAGCACCGGCUAACUUCGUG
This 484-nucleotide ribosomal RNA is filed under the name uncultured bacterium. Its description in RNAcentral is "partial 16S ribosomal RNA". It matches the Rfam family "Bacterial small subunit ribosomal RNA", at positions 30 to 507 of the family's 1533-position model. The record is from RNAcentral.